Molecule: ribosomal RNA, 497 nt
Filed under: uncultured bacterium
Lineage: Bacteria
Description: partial 16S ribosomal RNA
Rfam family: Bacterial small subunit ribosomal RNA
Source: RNAcentral
GAUGAACGCUGGCGGCGUGCCUAAUACAUGCAAGUCGAGCGAACGGACGAGAAGCUUGCUUCUCUGAUGUUAGCGGCGGACGGGUGAGUAACACGUGGAUAACCUACCUAUAAGACUGGGAUAACUUCGGGAAACCGGAGCUAAUACCGGAUAAUAUUUUGAACCGCAUGGUUCAAAAGUGAAAGACGGUCUUGCUGUCACUUAUAGAUGGAUCCGCGCUGCAUUAGCUAGUUGGUAAGGUAACGGCUUACCAAGGCAACGAUGCAUAGCCGACCUGAGAGGGUGAUCGCCCACACUGGAACUGAGACACGUUCCAGACUCCUACGGGAGGCAGCGGUAGGGAAUCUUCCGCGAUGGGCGAAAGCCUGACGGAGCAACGCCGCGUGAGUGAUGAAGGUCUUCGGAUCGUAAAACUCUGUUAUUAGGGAAGAACAUAUGUGUAAGUAACUGUGCACAUCUUGACGGUACCUAAUCAGAAAGCCACGGCUAACUACGUG